UAAGAAGUUGAGUGGCGGACGGGUGAGUAACACGUGGGUAACCUGCCUAAAAGAAGGGGAUAACACUUGGAAACAGGUGCUAAUACCGUAUAUCUCUAAGGGUCGCAUGAUCCUUAGAUGAAAGAUGGUUCUGCUAUCGCUUUUAGAUGGACCCGCGGCGUAUUAACUAGUUGGUGGGGUAACGGCCUACCAAGGUGAUGAUACGUAGCCGAACUGAGAGGUUGAUCGGCCACAUUGGGACUGAGACACGGCCCAAACUCCUACGGGAGGCAGCAGUAGGGAAUCUUCCACAAUGGACGCAAGUCUGAUGGAGCAACGCCGCGUGAGUGAAGAAGGUCUUCGGAUCGUAAAACUCUGUUGUUAGAGAAGAACACGAGUGAGAGUAACUGUUCAUUCGAUGACGGUAUCUAACCAGCAAGUCACGGCUAACUACGUGCCAGCAGCCGCGGUAAUACGUAGGUGGCAAGCGUUGUCCGGAUUUAUUGGGCGUAAAGGGAACGCAGGCGGUCUUUUAAGUCUGAUGUGAAAGCCUUCGGCUUAACCGGAGUAGUGCAUUGGAAACUGGAAGACUUGAGUGCAGAAGAGGAGAGUGGAACUCCAUGUGUAGCGGUGAAAUGCGUAGAUAUAUGGAAGAACACCAGUGGCGAAAGCGGCUCUCUGGUCUGUAACUGACGCUGAGGUUCGAAAGCGUGGGUAGCAAACAGAAUUUAGAUACCCUGGUAGUCCACG
RNAcentral lists this ribosomal RNA (729 nucleotides) under uncultured bacterium. RNAcentral's name for it is "bacterial SSU rRNA". It matches the Rfam family "Bacterial small subunit ribosomal RNA", at positions 84 to 799 of the family's 1533-position model. The record is from RNAcentral.